GAUGAAGAACGUAGCGAAAUGCGAUAAGUAGUGUGAAUUGCAGAAUUCAGUGAAUCAUCGAAUCUUUGAACGCUCAUUGCGCCCCUUGGUAUUCCAUGGGGCAUGCCUGUUCGAGCGUCAUUUGUACCUUCAAGCUUUGCUUGGUGUUGGGUGUUUGUCUCGCCUUUGCGUGUAGACUCGCCUUAAAAUAAUUGGCAGCCGGCGUAUUGAUUUCGGAGCGCAGUACAUCUCGCGCUUUGCACUCAUAACGACAGCGUCCAAAAGUACAUUUUACACUCUUGACCUCGGAUCAGGUAGGGAUACCCGCUGAACUUAAGCAUAUCAAUAAGCGGAGGA
RNAcentral lists this unclassified non-coding RNA (336 nucleotides) under soil metagenome. RNAcentral describes it as "partial contains 5.8S ribosomal RNA, internal transcribed spacer 2, and large subunit ribosomal RNA". The stretch from base 1 to 120 matches the Rfam family "5.8S ribosomal RNA", at positions 35 to 154 of the family's 154-position model. The record is from RNAcentral.